GAUGAAGAACGCAGCGAAAUGCGAUAAGUAAUGUGAAUUGCAGAAUUCAGUGAAUCAUCGAAUCUUUGAACGCACAUUGCGCCCGCCAGUAUUCUGGCGGGCAUGCCUGUCCGAGCGUCAUUUCAACCAUCAAGCCCCGGGCUUGUGUUGGGGACCUGCGUCCGACGCAGGCCCCGAAAACCAGUGGCGGGCUCGCUGUCCACACCGAGCGUAGUAGCUAACCUCGCUCCGGAGUGGCGCGGGCGCCUGCCGUAAAACCCCCCCAAUUUUACAAGGUUGACCUCGGAUCAGGGAGGAAUACCCGCUGAACUUAAGCAUGUCAAUAAGCGGAGGA
This 334-nucleotide unclassified non-coding RNA is filed under the name soil metagenome. RNAcentral's name for it is "partial contains 5.8S ribosomal RNA, internal transcribed spacer 2, and large subunit ribosomal RNA". The stretch from base 1 to 120 matches the Rfam family "5.8S ribosomal RNA", at positions 35 to 154 of the family's 154-position model. The record is from RNAcentral.